CCGCCCGUCACGUCAUGAAAGUCGGUAACACCCGAAGCCGGUGGCCUAACCCCUUGUGGGAGGGAGCUGUCGAAGGUGGGAUCGGCGAUUGGGACGAAGUCGUAACAAGGUAGCCGUACCGGAAGGUGCGGCUGGAUCACCUCCUUUCUAAGGAG
RNAcentral lists this ribosomal RNA (155 nucleotides) under Gordonia paraffinivorans. Its description in RNAcentral is "partial 16S ribosomal RNA". It matches the Rfam family "Bacterial small subunit ribosomal RNA", at positions 1390 to 1533 of the family's 1533-position model. The record is from RNAcentral. Lineage: Bacteria; Bacillati; Actinomycetota; Actinomycetes; Mycobacteriales; Gordoniaceae.